UACGUAGGGUGCGAGCGUUGUCCGGAAUUAUUGGGCGUAAAGAGCUCGUAGGCGGUUUGUCACGUCUGCUGUGAAAUCCCGAGGCUCAACCUCGGGCCUGCAGUGGGUACGGGCAGACUGGAGUGCGGUAGGGGAGAAUGGAAUUCCUGGUGUAGCGGUGGAAUGCGCAGAUAUCAGGAGGAACACCAAUAGCGAAGGCAGCUCGCUGGGACGUUACUGACACUGAGGCGCGAAAGCGUGGGGAGCGAACAGG
This 253-nucleotide ribosomal RNA is filed under the name uncultured bacterium. RNAcentral describes it as "partial 16S ribosomal RNA". It matches the Rfam family "Bacterial small subunit ribosomal RNA", at positions 524 to 776 of the family's 1533-position model. The record is from RNAcentral.